AACGAACGCUGGCGGCAGGCCUAACACAUGCAAGUCGAGCGCCCCGCAAGGGGAGCGGCGGACGGGUGAGUAACGCGUGGGAACGUACCCCUUUCUACGGAAUAGCCUCGGGAAACUGGGAGUAAUACCGUAUAAGCCCUACGGGGGAAAGAUUUAUCGGGAAGGGAUCGGCCCGCGUUGGAUUAGGUAGUUGGUGGGGU
RNAcentral lists this ribosomal RNA (200 nucleotides) under uncultured bacterium. RNAcentral describes it as "partial 16S ribosomal RNA". It matches the Rfam family "Bacterial small subunit ribosomal RNA", at positions 29 to 258 of the family's 1533-position model. The record is from RNAcentral.